UAUUGAAAUCAGAAAAAUCGUAAGGAACUAGAAAUGUUUCGAUAAAUUCAUUUACUUAUGUUGCUGAUGUUUACAAGUUACAAAAACUAGAUAUGGUAUUGUCUGCAAUGCAUUUUGGCGAUCUGGAUUCUUCGUGAGAAGAGCUACUCUAAAAAUAAUUCCACCCAAUAAACAAAGAGAAAUUAUUAUCCUGCGAGAAAUUUAUAAACUUAGAGAUUUGAACCACAGGAAUAUUGUGACAUUAUAUGGAGUUUCUAAGGAUCUCGAUAACAGAAUUUGCAUCAUUUAUGAGGGUGAAGAUUGUGGAUCACUGUACCAUUUAUUGCAUUAUACAGAGGAAAACUUUAAUAUCUGGCAGAAAAUAGAGUGGAUACAGCAAUGUGCCCAAGGAUUGGCGUACUUGCAUAGCAAAAAUAUACUACAUCGGAAUCUAAACCUAGACAACUUAAUUAUUUUCAAUAAAUAUCGCUUAUUGAAAAUAUGCAAUUUGGGAAAAGCGAAUGAAAUUACAAUAAGUAACCCGGAUUUUAAUAGAAUAGUUUGUUAUGUGGCACCCGAAGUUUGGGUCGGGCGGAAAAAAGAAAUUCUCAAAAGCGGCUGAUGUUUACAGUUUCGGCAUUAUUUUAUGGGAAUUAAUAUCGAAAGAUAUUAAGAAUCCGCUUGACUUUUAUAGACAUAUGGCUGACGUGAUGCUUAGUGUAAAAUGUAUUAUUGAACUUUGCUGCCAGCAAAAUGACACAGUACGUUCAAUGAUUAAGAAACUGAUUCAAGAUUUCUGGAUAUUGGAUAAAGAUGCUUUAAAAUCAAAGAACAAGAGACGCGAAAUAUUGGGUCGUAGUGUUUAUGAUAUGGAAAUUUUUUAUCAUCUAUUAUUCAAAGAUAAAUAAUACAAAAAAUUGCAUU
Long non-coding RNA from Drosophila albomicans, 903 nucleotides. RefSeq lists it as uncharacterized. NCBI's taxonomy places the organism in Eukaryota, Metazoa, Arthropoda, Insecta, Diptera, Drosophilidae. The record is from RefSeq and is a predicted model, not a curated record. The transcript is spliced from 4 exons.